AUACGGAGGGUGCAAGCGUUACUCGGAAUCACUGGGCGUAAAGGAUGCGUAGGCUGUAAUAUAAGUCAGAAGUGAAAUCCAACGGCUUAACCGUUGAACUGCUUUUGAAACUGUUUUACUAGAAUAUGGGAGAAGUAGAUGGAAUUGGUGGUGUAGGGGUAAAAUCCGUAGAUAUCACCAGGAAUACCGAUUGCGAAGGCGAUCUACUGGAACAUUAUUGACGCUGAGGCAUGAAAGCGGUGGGGAGAC
RNAcentral lists this ribosomal RNA (249 nucleotides) under uncultured bacterium. RNAcentral describes it as "partial 16S ribosomal RNA". It matches the Rfam family "Bacterial small subunit ribosomal RNA", at positions 523 to 771 of the family's 1533-position model. The record is from RNAcentral.